Molecule: non-coding RNA, 568 nt
Organism: Leptonychotes weddellii (Weddell seal)
Lineage: Eukaryota; Metazoa; Chordata; Mammalia; Carnivora; Phocidae
Source: RefSeq, a predicted model, not a curated record
UGUUGACUUGUUUAUUUUCUGUUUCCUGCAGUAGACUCACCCCAGCAAUGAAGGCAGCAGUCUUCCUGUCUUGUUCCCUGCCUUGUACCCAAAGCAUUGCAUAGCCCUUGGCACACAGUUGGUACUCAAUAAAUGCUUAUUGGCUUAAGAAUGAAUGGAAUUGGCAGCGUUGGGUUUUCAUCUCUGAUCUCCUAGGACUCUCUCGGAUGGGAAGCCUGGCUGUCUUGCCUGCUCCCCACACCCUGUCAGGAGCAAGCCCUGUGGGAUUUACUGCGCGUCUCUUGAGGCUAGGUGUUGUGCUGGGCUCUGAGGACACAUCUGGAAGUAAAUCAGUCAUAACUUCUACCCUCACAGGACCCACAUGUUAGAGGGCCAGCAUACAUAGAAGAAAGCAAGGAGAAAAAAAUAAUCACACACCCUAAAAUGUGCACAGAGGGAAAGAAUGGGGUGACAUCCGGUGGUUUUGGAGCUGACUUCUCUCAGCUCACGAGAGACAACUGUUAAAAACUCAGGAGUUUCGUGAGCUGGGGGUUAAAUGCAGGCAUUAUGAAAAAUUAACUUGGGCAAA